This 301-nucleotide ribosomal RNA is filed under the name uncultured bacterium. RNAcentral's name for it is "partial 16S ribosomal RNA". It matches the Rfam family "Bacterial small subunit ribosomal RNA", at positions 509 to 807 of the family's 1533-position model. The record is from RNAcentral.
CAGUCGCCGCGGGAAUACAGAGGGUGCGAGCGUUAAUCGGAUUCACUGGGCGUAAAGCGUGCGUAGGCGGCUUCUUAAGUCGGAUGUGAAAUCCCUGAGCUUAACUUAGGAAUUGCAUUCGAUACUGGGAAGCUAGAGUAUGGGAGAGGAUGGUAGAAUUCCAGGUGUAGCGGUGAAAUGCGUAGAGAUCUAGAGGAAUACCGAUGGCGAAGGCAGCCAUCUGGCCUAAUACUGACGCUGAGGUACGAAAGCAUGGGGAGCAAACAGGAUUAGAUACCCCAGUAGUCCCUGUCUCUUAUAC